AAAGAUACCGGGUAGUCCACGCCGUAAACGAUGAGUGCUAAGUGUUAGGGGGUUUCCGCCCCUUAGUGCUGCAGCUAACGCAUUAAGCACUCCGCCUGGGGAGUACGGUCGCAAGACUGAAACUCAAAGGAAUUGACGGGGGCCCGCACAAGCGGUGGAGCAUGUGGUUUAAUUCGAAGCAACGCGAAGAACCUUACCAGGUCUUGACAUCCCAUUGACCGCUAUGGAGACAUAGCUUUCCCUUCGGGGACAGUGGUGACAGGUGGUGCAUGGUUGUCGUCAGCUCGUGUCGUGAGAUGUUGGGUUAAGUCCCGCAACGAGCGCAACCCUUGUUCUUAGUUGCCAUCAUUUAGUUGGGCACUCUAAGGAGACUGCCGGUGACAAACCGGAGGAAGGUGGGGAUGACGUCAAAUCAUCAUGCCCCUUAUGACCUGGGCUACACACGUGCUACAAUGGACGGUACAAACGGUUGCCAACCCGCGAGGGGAGCUAAUCCGAUAAAACCGUUCUCAGUUCGGAUUGUAGGCUGCAACUCGCCUACA
RNAcentral lists this ribosomal RNA (542 nucleotides) under uncultured bacterium. RNAcentral's name for it is "bacterial SSU rRNA". It matches the Rfam family "Bacterial small subunit ribosomal RNA", at positions 778 to 1320 of the family's 1533-position model. The record is from RNAcentral.